UGAGUAAAACAAUUUUUAUAUAUACUAAAAAAUGCGGCAAUUAGUUUGUAUAGCACUCCUUAAUUUUGUUGCCAUCUCUGAUAUGUUUCUAUUGUAUUGCCAAAUUGCCUAUUUCCCACUUGACGUAGCUGAAGCGCAGUCAUAAAUCUCACCUUCGGCAGUUGCAUUUCAAUUAGGAAGUGCAUCCAAAAAACCCAGCCUAAACCCCAAUUAAACGAAAGAAAGAUUCCCUCAGUAGAUUUUGUUUCCACCAAUUGCCGCUAAACUGUUGGAAAUCCCCCGCUGCCAUAAUUAGUUAUUGAAAUGAACAGCAUUUGGAAGCACAAAAAGUCUCCACACAGAUGAAAAUCUGAGCCCCGGGGCAGCCUAUCACAGCAAACCGAUCUGAAAAUGAUGUACAAAAAACAUCCCAUGUAAUGGUUGAAAUUAUAGCAACAAUUUAGAGGGGCGGAGUCGAAUGAAACUCAACAACACUCAUAAAUGGAGCCUGGCCAGACGACUGUGGCCUCAGGCAAGAAUUUGCUUAAAAAAUCAAUUAAAUACACAGAGAAAAAAAGCAAAAAAGAGCGUUCAAGCAAAAUUAAAAUCAUCUAAAGAAUCGCACGCCAAUGGCUCAUUUGUAAUGCUCCAGAAGCGGGCGCAGGAAAAUGCCCCUGCAUCGUCCAGAGGGCAGUGUGGAGCGACGUCUAAUUACACAAAGCCUUUUGUUGUCUGCACGAGCAUUUGCUGUUGUGGUGUUGUAAUGCGACAAUUAAAAUUAUUGUACAACUUUCUGUUUUCUGCUUGCAUAAUCGCACAAUUUGUCAACAGCGAGACAGCCCUUUUUGGAUCAAGUUUAAUUGUUUUACACACUGUUUUGGUUUUUUUUUUUCAAUUAAAAUGCAAAGUUUGUGAGGGUUAAAAUGCGUCAAAGAGAAAAAUGCGUUCUAGGCUGGCGUGUUGCAAGUGUGAAAUGAAAAAUUGCACUGCCAAAGCAGUUCCAUUCAUGGAUGAGAUGCCAUUUGGGUGGAAACAAACAAUUAACAAAGGUAUUUUAAUGAGGAAUAUUAUUUUGUAUUUUUAUUUAUAUUUUUAUUAUUAUUAGUUGUGUUACAACGUAAAAGAAUUUUCACUUAAAUGUAGCAAGAAUUUAUGCCUUUGGCCAGGACUAAAAAUAAACUCUUGGAAUAAUUGUAUUCCAAGCCCAAAAUUCCAUUUUGAAGAAUAUUUCUACAAGUUCUGUUUGUUAAAGUAGCUCAAAUUUAAAACAAUAACACUAAUCGUAGCCAAAAAUGUCCGCAAAAAAUUGUAAAAUUUAGAGUGCACAAAACUCACCAAUAAAAAACCUUCCAGAAAGUUCAACGACUUCCAUCUUCUACACUAAAAAUGAUAAAGUUUUCGCUCUUCCCCCCUCAACGCCACGCCUCAUACACCCUCAUCAAUCUACCAUAUCCACACAAAUCUCUGCUCAGACAUUGAGCAUCAAUUGGCGCAUUUAAUGUGCCCAUUUCUAGCAAUUAUUAAUUAUAAUUAUCAGCUAAAAACAAGGCAAAUGCAUUUGGCACUUUAAACGUAGCAACUAAACUAAACAAAAUUAUGGCAAAUAAAUAUGGAUGUAAAAAGCAAAGAAUGCGAGAGAAAAAGAAUAGCAAAGAAAAAGAUUUGCAACAACUUUCUAUGACAUUUAAAUGGAAAAGAUGAAAUCGAGCAGUUUAUGUUGAACAAAACUAGCCAUCGGGAUUAGACCAUAAAGCAUAGUCUGCAGCGUAGCUGCCAGUAGCUCUUGAGACUUGCAACAGUGCCAGCAGCAAUGGCAGUGGCAACAUCAGCGGCCUCUGCGUGUGCGUGUCAGCGACUGUGGCUUUUCGGGCUUCAUGGUGCACUGGACCCAGGCCGGGGCCUGGACCGUCAAACCAGAACGGCCGCCUAUGAAGAAU
Molecule: long non-coding RNA, 1916 nt
Filed under: Drosophila guanche
Lineage: Eukaryota; Metazoa; Arthropoda; Insecta; Diptera; Drosophilidae
Source: RNAcentral